UACGAAGGGGGCAAGCGUUGUCCGGAAUCAUUGGGCGUAAAGCGCGCGUAGGUGGCCACAUAAGUCCGUUGUGAAAGUCAAAGGCUCAACCUUUGAAAGCCGAUGGAUACUGUGUGGCUAGAGUACGGAAGAGGCGAGUGGAAUUCCUGGUGUAGCGGUGGAAUGCGCAGAUAUCAGGAGGAACACCAAUAGCGAAGGCAGCUCGCUGGGACGUUACUGACACUGAGGCGCGAAAGCGUGGGGAGCGAACAGG
This 253-nucleotide ribosomal RNA is filed under the name uncultured bacterium. Its description in RNAcentral is "partial 16S ribosomal RNA". It matches the Rfam family "Bacterial small subunit ribosomal RNA", at positions 524 to 776 of the family's 1533-position model. The record is from RNAcentral.